Molecule: small nuclear RNA, 100 nt
Filed under: Pteropus alecto (black flying fox)
Lineage: Eukaryota; Metazoa; Chordata; Mammalia; Chiroptera; Pteropodidae
Description: U2 spliceosomal RNA
Rfam family: U2 spliceosomal RNA
About the family: U2 is a small nuclear RNA (snRNA) component of the spliceosome (involved in pre-mRNA splicing).
Source: Rfam by way of RNAcentral
AUUGCAUCCCAGCCUUUUGGCUAAGAUCAAGCGUAGUAUCUGUUCUUAUCAGCAAUUAUAUCAUUAGAUUCUCUCUUUGUUUUAUUUUUACAAAAUCUUA